Molecule: long non-coding RNA, 236 nt
Organism: Oryzias melastigma (Indian medaka)
Lineage: Eukaryota; Metazoa; Chordata; Actinopteri; Beloniformes; Adrianichthyidae
Exons: 3
Source: RefSeq, a predicted model, not a curated record
UGUGUGGGGAAGAUGAGAGCCAGAGCAAAGCUCUGAGGAACCAACCUGGACCUGGAUACGAACCCAGCUGUGUGUCCUUCAGGAGUGACAGAUCAAAGGGUCUUGAUGUUGACUUCAAAGGCAACAGUUCAGGAGUGGAACAGAACCAACCUGGACCUGGAGAUGAACCCAGCUGUGUGUCCUUCAGGUGUAACAGGUCAAAGAGUUCACCUCCUGGCUUCGAAGGCAGUUCACUA